GCCGCAGCUCCGCGGCGCCCGGUGCCGUCCCCUCGCCGCGCAGCCCGGGCACGGCUCCGCCACGGCCAGCGCAGCCCGGCUGCUUUUAGCAGCAGCGCUGCUGAGGCCUAGGGGGGGAAAAUGAAAGGAAAAGGAGGCUGUAGCAGCGGGAGCCGCCGCACCCCGGCGGGAGGAGCGGGAUCGGGGAAGCUUGGCAGGCGGGAGGGCGGCCUCUGCCGCGGCGCUGCCCGGAGCUUCUCCGCGGCGGUCUCCACCUGCCCGCGGGGGGAGCGGAGCCGGCUCCGGUGCCGGUCCUGGCCCCUUCGCCCUCGCUGGGCGCCCCGCGGGCAGCGGCUCCGCGCUCGGGCCGCCCUGGCAGCGGCGCGGGCUCCUCUCCCAUCCUGAGGACAAGGUCAAGGAUGAAGGGUCAAUGUCAAGUUGUCUUAACGGUGGAAGGCGACCGUCCACGGCAGAGCUCCUUGCUUCCCGCGUUUCUGGUGUCCUUGAUUGAUUCGAAAGUGCCAUUUUGAAGGGGAACCGCGCCCGGGCGCCAAGAAGACGCGAGGACUUCGCUUUCCCUUCCCAGGGCGAAGAAGUGAGGAUGGUACAGGACGGGGAUGUCACCGCCACUCUGCCUAACAGUGUUUAGUGUCUUAAAGUGCUUUAAUGGCUGGAUUGAUUUAGGUUUCAGGGACCCUCGGAGGACUGCGUUCUGCCAAGCGAACCCUCCGAGAGUGGCGUUUCCGUGCGGCCUCAGCCCUCCCGGAGCGCCGCCGCCGCCGCCAGACACCCAGCCCAGGCAGCAGCGUCGGCAGCAGGCUCUCAACCAUCCCCUGGGCUUCUCUGGGGAUCUCGGAGCCUCCUGAAGGUACAGCCGAGCUUCCCCUGCGCCCCUCUCCGCACGCAGCGCUUGUCCGCGGUGGCGCCCGGCUCCCCCCGCAGCUCGCCCCGGGGCCAGCGGGGCAGGGAGCUGGCAGAGCCCGCGAAACCCCCUGUGACCCCCGCGGAUGGACCAGAGAAACAAUAAAGAACGCUGCUUCCUAA
Molecule: long non-coding RNA, 1023 nt
Organism: Haemorhous mexicanus (house finch)
Lineage: Eukaryota; Metazoa; Chordata; Aves; Passeriformes; Fringillidae
Exons: 2
Source: RefSeq, a predicted model, not a curated record